RNAcentral lists this ribosomal RNA (433 nucleotides) under uncultured bacterium. RNAcentral's name for it is "partial 16S ribosomal RNA". It matches the Rfam family "Bacterial small subunit ribosomal RNA", at positions 29 to 507 of the family's 1533-position model. The record is from RNAcentral.
AACGAACGCUGGCGGCAGGCCUAACACAUGCAAGUCGAGCGAGAUCUUCGGGUCUAGCGGCGGACGGGUGAGUAACGCGUGGGAAUAUGCCCUUCUCUGCGGAAUAGCCUCGGGAAACUGAGCGUAAUACCGCAUACGCCCUUUGGGGGAAAGAUUUAUCGGGGAAGGAUUAGCCCGCGUUGGAUUAGGUAGUUGGUGGGGUAACGGCCUACCAAGCCGACGAUCCAUAGCUGGUUGGAGAGGAUGAUCAGCCACACUGGGACUGAGACACGGCCCAGACUCCGACGGGAGGCAGCAGUGGGGAAUCUUAGACAAUGAGGGCAACCCUGAUCGAGCCAUGCCGCGUGAGUGAUGAAGGCCUUAGGGUUGUAAAGCUCUUUCAGCUGGGAAGAUAAUGACGGUACCAGCAGAAGAAGCCCCGGCUAACUCCGUG